RNAcentral lists this ribosomal RNA (465 nucleotides) under Vreelandella stevensii. RNAcentral's name for it is "partial 16S ribosomal RNA". It matches the Rfam family "Bacterial small subunit ribosomal RNA", at positions 338 to 795 of the family's 1533-position model. Lineage: Bacteria; Pseudomonadati; Pseudomonadota; Gammaproteobacteria; Oceanospirillales; Halomonadaceae. The record is from RNAcentral.
CCUACGGGUGGCAGCAGUGGGGAAUAUUGGACAAUGGGGGGAACCCUGAUCCAGCCAUGCCGCGGGGGUGAAGAAGGCCCUCGGGUUGUAAAGCACUUUCAGUGAGGAAGAACGCCUGGUGGUUAAUACCCAUCAGGAAAGACAUCACUCACAGAAGAAGCACCGGCUAACUCCGUGCCAGCAGCCGCGGUAAUACGGAGGGUGCGAGCGUUAAUCGGAAUUACUGGGCGUAAAGCGCGCGUAGGUGGCUUGAUAAGCCGGUUGUGAAAGCCCCGGGCUCAACCUGGGAACGGCAUCCGGAACUGUCAAGCUAGAGUGCAGGAGAGGAAGGUAGAAUUCCCGGUGUAGCGGUGAAAUGCGUAGAGAUCGGGAGGAAUACCAGUGGCGAAGGCGGCCUUCUGGACUGACACUGACACUGAGGUGCGAAAGCGUGGGUAGCAAACAGGAUUAGAUACCCGUGUAGUC